CAGUAGCCGCGGGAAUACGGAGGAUCCGAGCGUUAUCCGGAUUUAUUGGGUUUAAAGGGUGCGUAGGCGGCCUGUUAAGUCAGGGGUGAAAGACGGUGGCUCAACCAUCGCAGUGCCCUUGAUACUGAUGGGCUUGAAUGUACUAGAGGUAGGCGGAAUGAGACAAGUAGCGGUGAAAUGCAUAGAUAUGUCUCAGAACACCGAUUGCGAAGGCAGCUUACUAUGGUACUAUUGACGCUGAGGCACGAAAGCGUGGGGAUCGAACAGGAUUAGAUACCCGAGUAGUCCCUGUCUCUUAUAC
Molecule: ribosomal RNA, 301 nt
Filed under: uncultured bacterium
Lineage: Bacteria
Description: partial 16S ribosomal RNA
Rfam family: Bacterial small subunit ribosomal RNA
Source: RNAcentral